GAUGAACGCUGGCGGCGUGCCUAAUACAUGCAAGUCGAGCGAACAGAUGAGGAGCUUGCUCCUCUGACGUGAGCGGCGGACGGGUGAGUAACACGUGGAUAACCUACCGAUAAGACUGGGAUAACUUCGGGAAACCGGAGCUAAUACCGGAUAAGAUAUUGAACCACAAGGUUCAAUAGUAAAAUACGGUUUUGCUACCACUUAUAGAUGGAUCCGCGCCGCAUUAGCUAGUUGGUAAGGUAACGCCUUACCAAGGCAACGAUGCGUAGCCGACCUGGGAGGGUGAUCGGCCACCCUGGAACUGAGACACGGUCCAGACUCCUACGGGAGGCAGCAUUAGGGAAUCUUCCGCAAUGGGCGAAAGCCUGACGGAGCAACGCCGCGUGAGUGAUGAAGGUCUUCGGAUCGUAAACCUCUGUUAUUAGGGAAGAACAAAUGUGUAAGUAACUAUGCACGUCUUGACGGUACCUAAUCAGAAAGCCACGGCUAACUACGUG
Molecule: ribosomal RNA, 497 nt
Filed under: uncultured bacterium
Lineage: Bacteria
Description: partial 16S ribosomal RNA
Rfam family: Bacterial small subunit ribosomal RNA
Source: RNAcentral